Molecule: ribosomal RNA, 93 nt
Filed under: Triticum aestivum (bread wheat)
Lineage: Eukaryota; Viridiplantae; Streptophyta; Magnoliopsida; Poales; Poaceae
Description: partial small subunit ribosomal RNA
Source: RNAcentral
UUCGAAAUACCUCGACUUUUUUAGAACAGGUCCGAGUCAAAUGGCAAUGAUUCAAAGCACUUCUUUUUCCAUUACACUAUUUCGGAAACCUAA